UACGGAGGGGGCUAGCGUUGUUCGGAAUUACUGGGCGUAAAGCGCGCGUAGGCGGAUCUGCAAGUCGGGGGUGAAAUCCCGAGGCUCAACCUCGGAACUGCCUUCGAUACUGCGGGUCUCGAGUCCGGGAGAGGUGAGUGGAAUUCCUAGUGUAGAGGUGAAAUUCGUAGAUAUUAGGAAGAACACCAGUGGCGAAGGCGGCUCACUGGCCCGGUACUGACGCUGAGGUGCGAAAGCGUGGGGAGCAAACAGG
Molecule: ribosomal RNA, 253 nt
Filed under: uncultured bacterium
Lineage: Bacteria
Description: partial 16S ribosomal RNA
Rfam family: Bacterial small subunit ribosomal RNA
Source: RNAcentral